UACGUAGGGUCCGAGCGUUGUCCGGAAUUACUGGGCGUAAAGAGCUCGUAGGUGGUUUGUCGCGUUGUUCGUGAAAACUCACAGCUUAACUGUGGGCGUGCGGGCGAUACGGGCAGACUUGAGUACUGCAGGGGAGACUGGAAUUCCUGGUGUAGCGGUGGAAUGCGCAGAUAUCAGGAGGAACACCGGUGGCGAAGGCGGGUCUCUGGGCAGUAACUGACGCUGAGGAGCGAAAGCGUGGGGAGCAAAAGGG
This 253-nucleotide ribosomal RNA is filed under the name uncultured bacterium. Its description in RNAcentral is "partial 16S ribosomal RNA". It matches the Rfam family "Bacterial small subunit ribosomal RNA", at positions 524 to 776 of the family's 1533-position model. The record is from RNAcentral.